GGUCCUACGGGGGGCAGCAGUGGGGAAUAUUGCGCAAUGGGGGCAACCCUGACGCAGCAACGCCGCGUGCAGGAAGAAGGUCUUCGGAUCGUAAACCUCUGUCAGCAGGGAAGAACGGUCACUGUGCUAAUCAGCAGUGAAUUGACGGUACCUGCAAAGGAAGCACCGGCUAACUCCGUGCCAGCAGCCGCGGUAAUACGGAGGGUGCGAGCGUUAAUCGGAAUUACUGGGCGUAAAGCGCUCGUAGGCGGUAUGUCAAGUCAAGGGUGAAAUCCCCGCGCUCAACGUGGGAACUGCCUUUGAAA
This 305-nucleotide ribosomal RNA is filed under the name uncultured bacterium. RNAcentral's name for it is "bacterial SSU rRNA". It matches the Rfam family "Bacterial small subunit ribosomal RNA", at positions 335 to 632 of the family's 1533-position model. The record is from RNAcentral.